This 72-nucleotide transfer RNA is filed under the name Ovis aries (sheep). It matches the Rfam family "tRNA". From Rfam's summary of the family: Transfer RNA (tRNA) molecules are approximately 80 nucleotides in length. Their secondary structure includes four short double-helical elements and three loops (D, anti-codon, and T loops). Further hydrogen bonds mediate the characteristic L-shaped molecular structure. tRNAs have two regions of fundamental functional importance: the anti-codon, which is responsible for specific mRNA codon recognition, and the 3' end, to which the tRNAs corresponding amino acid is attached (by aminoacyl-tRNA synthetases). tRNAs cope with the degeneracy of the genetic code in two manners: having more than one tRNA (with a specific anti-codon) for a particular amino acid; and 'wobble' base-pairing, i.e. permitting non-standard base-pairing at the 3rd anti-codon position. Lineage: Eukaryota; Metazoa; Chordata; Mammalia; Artiodactyla; Bovidae. The record is from Rfam by way of RNAcentral.
UCCCUGGUGGCUUAGACGGUAAAGCAUCUGUCUACAAUGCAGGAGACCCAGGUUCCAUCCCUGGGUUGGGAA